RNAcentral lists this ribosomal RNA (253 nucleotides) under uncultured bacterium. RNAcentral describes it as "partial 16S ribosomal RNA". It matches the Rfam family "Bacterial small subunit ribosomal RNA", at positions 524 to 776 of the family's 1533-position model. The record is from RNAcentral.
GACGGAGGGUGCAAGCGUUGCUCGGAAUCACUGGGCGUAAAGGGUGCGUAGGCGGUCUCGCAAGUCUGGCGUGAAAGCCCAAGGCUCAGCCUUGGAAGUGCGCUCGAAACGGCGAGGCUGGAGUGCCGGAGGGGAGAGUGGAAUUCCCGGUGUAGCGGUGAAAUGCGUAGAGAUCGGGAGGAAUACCGGUGGCGAAAGCAGCCCCCUGGGCUAACACUGACGCUCAUGCACGAAAGCGUGGGGAGCAAACAGG